Molecule: transfer RNA, 76 nt
Filed under: Acidobacteriota bacterium
Lineage: Bacteria; Pseudomonadati; Acidobacteriota
Also listed under: 3 other names
Description: tRNA-Val
Rfam family: tRNA
About the family: Transfer RNA (tRNA) molecules are approximately 80 nucleotides in length. Their secondary structure includes four short double-helical elements and three loops (D, anti-codon, and T loops).
Source: RNAcentral
GGGCGGUUAGUUCAGGGGCUAGAAUGCUUCCUUGACGCGGAAGAGGUCGCUGGUUCGAUUCCAGCACCGCCCACCA